GCUGUGUGGGGAAGAAGGCUCUUGCCCUGCUAGUUAUAAUGAAUUCAAUGGCUGUGUUUUAUUUUAGCUUAACGGGACACUGUGCAAGGCUUUUAGAAAUUUAGUGGCACGUAUGAAUGCCAUCAGGCCGUUAGGACACCAUUUGCCUAGCAAAUACAGUAUCUCCCUGGAUGCUGCUGAGGGUGGCAGCUCCCUGCUGCUGGCGCCAGCUCUGUUGUCAGCUCCACGAAGCCAUCAGACAGUUCCAGCUGCUUACUUUUUUCCACAUGCUGUUAAUAAUUCUGUCAGCCGGGAAAGCCACGUUUUGAUUUUAUCUGCACUCCAGACAGUUCGUGGAGAAAAAAAGAUUAUAUAGGGAUUGCUUAAAUGUAUUCUCUUAGAUGCUAAGGAUGCCUUGUCAGUGUCUGUACCUGAUGCUUAAUUAACAAAGAGAGAGUUUUCUUUCCCUUGUCCUGAGACGUCUGCGUGUGACACCUGCCAUUCUUAUCAGAAGGGUGGAUGAGGCUGCAGGAAGUGCAAAAUAUCCUCUGUAACACUGGAGAAGACAAAGAGGAAAUUGAGAUAAGGGAAUUGCUAUGAAUCACUUGUGGAGAUGGUGAAACAUCAAGAUUGCAUGAGAUACCAAUUCAGUGCUUCACGUGUUGGUCAGGAAUCCACUCACGGAAAAAUAUUGCUGUUCUGUAUUUGGAAUCCCUGUUCAUAUGUUCUGAGUGAGUUCCAGUGAGGUUUUACAGCAAGGAGAUUUGAAAUCUGCCAUACGGCUAAGCUUCACUUCGGAUCUGCCUAUUUUACUCUCAUUCUGCUUUAUGCACGGAACAGAGUAAGAGCAGGCUCUUUUCACUUACUGUUUCCCCAGUUUCUGGCUGUUCUUCGAAGUGCUCUGCCUUUUGUGCUCUUAAAAAGGCAGUGAGCAUCCUGGAGCAGCCAGGUCUCCCGAGUGCACUUCUAUGCCUCUGUCUUCGUCACAGGCUGCUUUCAUCUGCCAGAGUCCCUUUGCCUUUCAUUAGCUAUUCAGCCUAGCUCUUCACUGUAAAGCCUGUCGAGAUUUGUGUUUAUGAUUAAAAUUACACACUGAGAAAUGUGUGGGAGUAAAGGGAUUAGGGAAACAGUUGCAGCAAUUAAAAAAAAACAAAAAAAACCCAAAAGAGAAAGCACGAGGAAGGGACUUCCACACCUGUUUCACGUUUCUACCCCAUUGCUUUGCUUUGUAUGCUCUUGCUUGGAUGCUUCUGGGACCUGUGUGAUUUUCGUGCUGGUGUCUUAGCUGCGUGCAUGCACUUUGUUCUUCUCUGGGGUAAUUGGGACAGGCUCCUAGGCUGGACCUUUGUCCCAUCAAGUGCUACGUGUCUGCACGGCAAAGAUGUAGCAAAGCUGUUAUUUCCUUGAUGUAUGUCAGAACUGCCUCCAGAAGUAAGAAGAGGCGGAAGGGGCUUUCCACCUCUUCAUUUAAUCUCAGUACACUGCUUAAAUGCGUCUCCGUGUGGGAGUUUAAGACACAGCAGUAAGAUGCAGCUGGCUGGGUUGUGUUGUUUUGGGGUUUCUUUUUUUAAUUGUUUAGUUUUGUUUUUGUGGGUUUAGGGUUGGAUGGAUAGCUUCUUUGAAAUGUCAUUCUGAUGGAAAACAAGGCAGGUGCCUUACUGCUGUCACCAGGUGAGGGCCUAUCAUAUGAUUGCUUGCCAGACAGAGAAAAUCACUUCAUUAGAUAGUGAUAUUUUUCUUUAAUAUAAUCCUCUUACAGAUGGGUUUUGAGCUUAAAAUACACCAUGGCCAAUAUUCUUUGUACUCUCUUCUCCUGUACUAGAGCAGUAUUUGCAGAGUUUUCAUAUUUCUGCUAAUUUGGAGCCUCUUUUCUGAAGCUUCUGAUUGGAAAUGCUGCAGAUUUAAACACUUUGCACUGGAAUUUAAGGAAAGCAUGUAACUGGACUAUAGAUAUGCC
Molecule: long non-coding RNA, 1936 nt
Filed under: Gallus gallus (chicken)
Lineage: Eukaryota; Metazoa; Chordata; Aves; Galliformes; Phasianidae
Description: lncRNA (ENSGALG00010016284.1)
Source: RNAcentral